RNAcentral lists this ribosomal RNA (776 nucleotides) under uncultured Neocallimastigales. RNAcentral describes it as "partial large subunit ribosomal RNA". It matches the Rfam family "Eukaryotic large subunit ribosomal RNA", at positions 23 to 626 of the family's 3401-position model. Lineage: Eukaryota; Fungi; Neocallimastigomycota; Neocallimastigomycetes; Neocallimastigales. The record is from RNAcentral.
AGAGAGAGACAUGCGCGCAUAUCAAUAAGCGGAGGAAAAGAAACUAACAAGGAUUCCCUUAGUAACGGCGAGUGAAGCGGGAAGAGCUCAAAUUUGAAAUCUUCAAGGUUUUACCUUGACGAAUUGUAGUUUAAAGAAGUGUUUUCUGCUGAAGUUUUGGUAAAAGUUCUUUGGAAUAGGACAUCAUAGAGGGUGAGAAUCCCGUAUUUGACCAUUAUUUUCAGCUCUGUGAUACACUUUCAAAGAGUCGGAUUGUUUGGGAAUGCAGUCCAAAAUGGGUGGUAAAUUUCAUCUAAAGCUAAAUAUUGGCGAGAGACCGAUAGCGAACAAGUACCGUGAGGGAAAGAUGAAAAGAACUUUGAAAAGAGAGUUAAACAGUACGUGAAAUUGUCAAAAGGGAAGCGUUUGACACCAGUGUUGUUUUCUCGAAAAUCAAUUAAAAAUGGCUCGAUUUUGUAUUGCUUGAGACCUUAAAAGCUCACUGUACAUUUUUCGUGUCUUUUUUAAUGCACUUUUCGUUUAACAAGUCAACAUCAGUUUCUUUUGUUGUAAAAGGGUCAUUGGAAGGUGGCUUUCUUUUCGGAGAAAGUGUUUAUAGCCUUUGGCCUCUGCAAUCGGAGAGACUGAGGUCUGCAGCGUAGACUCUUCGGGGUUAGAUACAUUUGUGCUAAGUUAUAGCUUUUUUAUAGACAACUUGUUGACUAUAAUUAGUCUUGUAGCUUACUCGCUUAUGCUAUUUUACCUACGCUUAGGAUGUUGAGUCGUAGAGCACGCAG